CCAAUAGCGUAUAUUAAAGUUGUUGCAGUUAAAAAGCUCGUAGUUGAAUUUCGGGGUCAGUAGGUCGGUCGUGCCACUGGUAUGAACUGGUUUUACUGAUUCCUCCCUCUUGAAGAACUGUAAUGCCAUUAAUUUGGUGUUGCAGGGAAUCAGGACUGUUACUUUGAAAAAAUUAGAGUGUUUAAAGCAGGCUUUAGCUUGAAUACAUUAGCAUGGAAUAAUGAAAUAGGACGUUUGAUCCUAUUUUGUUGGUUUCUAGGAUUGACGUAAUGAUUAAUAGGGAUAGUUGGGGGAAUUAGUAUUCAAUUGUCAGAGGUGAAAUUCUUGGAUUUAUUGAAGACUAACUACUGCGAAAGCAUUUGCCAAGGAUGUUUUCAUUAAUCAAGAACGAAAGUUAGGGGAUCGAAGACGAUCAGAUACCGUCGUAGUCUUAACCAUAAACUAUGCCGACUAGGGAUCGGAUGAUGUUAAUUUUUUAAUGACUCAUUCGGCGCCUUACG
Molecule: non-coding RNA, 500 nt
Filed under: uncultured Glomus
Lineage: Eukaryota; Fungi; Glomeromycota; Glomeromycetes; Glomerales; Glomeraceae
Also listed under: 1 other name
Description: SSU rRNA
Rfam family: Eukaryotic small subunit ribosomal RNA
Source: RNAcentral